This 233-nucleotide ribosomal RNA is filed under the name uncultured bacterium. Its description in RNAcentral is "partial 16S ribosomal RNA". It matches the Rfam family "Bacterial small subunit ribosomal RNA", at positions 118 to 351 of the family's 1533-position model. The record is from RNAcentral.
UGAGUGACCUGCCGAUUUGUGGGGGAUAGCCGGGCCAACGCCCGGGUAAUACCGCAUACGCUCUUCUUGGGGCAUCUCUAGAAGAGGAAACCUCCGGGGCAAAUCGAGGGACUCGCGGCCUAUCAGCUAGUUGGCGAGGUAACGGCUCACCAAGGCUACGACGGGUAGCUGGUCUGAGAGGGUGACCGGCCACACUGGGACUGAGACACGGCCCAGACUCCUACGGGAGGCAG